GAGGCGGUUGCCGCUCGCUGGAUCUCUUCCCGCUCUUUCCCUCAUCGCGCCAUGUCUGCAGUUGACUCGUGGCACUUCUGUGCCAAGCUUGCCCGCUAAUUCAUGAAAGGGUGGGGUGCCAACCUUGGCCGGGAUCUUCGAGAGCGAAAAAAGGCCCUCCUGCUGGCUAUUCAAGCUCUGGAUGCCCGUGCUGACACGUCCGGAAUCUCCCCGGAUGAGUGGAUGUUGCGAUAUGACCUUGAAGACCAGCUCUCAACCAUCUACACUGAUGAAGAGGCCUACUGGCGUCUGCGUGGUACCCAGCGGUGGGUACUUCGGGGCGAUGCCAACACCGCCUAUUUCCAGGCGGUGGCGAACGGCCGCCGGCACCGAAACUCCAUCCACUGCCUUUAGGAUGGAGAUACGCCUCUCGUUCGCCCCUCGGCCAUUCGUACCCAUGUA
This 441-nucleotide ribosomal RNA is filed under the name Triticum aestivum (bread wheat). RNAcentral's name for it is "partial small subunit ribosomal RNA". The record is from RNAcentral. Lineage: Eukaryota; Viridiplantae; Streptophyta; Magnoliopsida; Poales; Poaceae.